This 252-nucleotide ribosomal RNA is filed under the name uncultured bacterium. RNAcentral's name for it is "partial small subunit ribosomal RNA". It matches the Rfam family "Bacterial small subunit ribosomal RNA", at positions 26 to 285 of the family's 1533-position model. The record is from RNAcentral.
AGGACGAACGCUGGCGGCGUGCUUAACACAUGCAAGUCGAGCGGAAAGGCCCUUCGGGGUACUCGAGCGGCGAACGGGUGAGUAACACGUGAGCAACCUGCCCCUGGCUCUGGGAUAGCCUCCGGAAACGGGGAUUAAUACCGGACAUGACCUGCUGCCGCAUGGUGGCGGGUGGAAAGUUUUUCGGCCAGGGUGGGCUCGCGGCCUAUCAGCUUGUUGGGGGGUGACGGCUCACCAAGGCGACGACGGGUA